CAGUAGCCGCGGGAAUACAGAGGGUGCGAGCGUUAAUCGGAUUUACUGGGCGUAAGGCGUGCGUAGGCGGCUUUUAAGUCGGAUGUGAAAUCCCUGAGCUUAACUUAGGAAUUGCAUUCGAUACUGGGAAGCUAGAGUAUGGGAGAGGAUGGUAGAAUUCCAGGUGUAGCGGUGAAAUGCGUAGAGAUCUGGAGGAAUACCGAUGGCGAAGGCAGCCAUCUGGCCUAAUACUGACGCUGAGGUACGAAAGCAUGGGGAGCAAACAGGAUUAGAUACCCCAGUAGUCCCUGUCUCUUAUACA
Molecule: ribosomal RNA, 301 nt
Filed under: uncultured bacterium
Lineage: Bacteria
Description: partial 16S ribosomal RNA
Rfam family: Bacterial small subunit ribosomal RNA
Source: RNAcentral